This is a non-coding RNA of Bombyx mori (domestic silkworm), 84 nucleotides long. The record is from Rfam. Lineage: Eukaryota; Metazoa; Arthropoda; Insecta; Lepidoptera; Bombycidae.
UUAACUUAAAUUUGUAUGGAGUUGGAAUAUUUGCCUACGUUUGCUACCAGGGGCGCUGUUUCAACUGCACACAAAAUUGAGUUA